UACGGAGGGUGCAAGCGUUGUCCGGAAUCACUGGGCGUAAAGGGCGCGUAGGCGGUUUGCUAAGUCUUCUGUGAAAUCUACGGGCUCAGCCUGUAACGUGCAGAGGAAACUGACAGACUUGAGUGUCGGAGAGGAUAGUGGAAUUCCCGGUGUAGAGGUGAAAUUCGUAGAGAUCGGGAGGAACACCAGUGGCGAAGGCGACUAUCUGGCUGACAACUGACGCUGAGACUCGAAAGCAUGGGGAGCAAACAGG
Molecule: ribosomal RNA, 253 nt
Filed under: uncultured bacterium
Lineage: Bacteria
Description: partial 16S ribosomal RNA
Rfam family: Bacterial small subunit ribosomal RNA
Source: RNAcentral